Molecule: ribosomal RNA, 405 nt
Filed under: uncultured bacterium
Lineage: Bacteria
Description: partial 16S ribosomal RNA
Rfam family: Bacterial small subunit ribosomal RNA
Source: RNAcentral
AUAUUGCGCAAUGGAGGGAACUCUGACGCAGCGACGCCGCGUGAGCGAUGAAGGUCUUCGCAUCGUAAAGCUCUGUCCUUGGGGAAGAAGGUCUUCGGACUUGCCGGGACCUAAGGAGGCAGUACACGCCAACUACGUGCCAUCAGCCGCGGUAAUACGUAGGGGGCAAGCGUUGUCCGGAAUCAUUGGGCGUAAAGCGUGCGUAGGCGGCCUAUUAAGUAAGAUGUGAAAGGCCACGGCUUAACCGUGGGACUGGAUUUGAAACUGGAGGGCUUGAGUAUCGGAGAGGGUAGUGGAAUGCCCAGUGUAGCGGUGGAAUGCGUAGAUAUUGGGAGGAACACCAGUGGCGAAGGCGACUACCUGGACGAAAACUGACGCUGAGGCACGAAAGCUAGGGGAGCAAAC